CACAAAGGUCCUGGUGUGAUGGGUGCCAAGCAGAAGUGAGGGAAAAGGGCCAGUCUGAGAUGAGGUAUGUUUUUGUACUUGGUGGUGCUGUCAUUGUAACUUUCAGCCACGAAGAAGUAUGACUGAGUGGGAAAGGUCACAUAGCAGAAGCAGGAUAUUUUGCUGCUGCUAUAUGCAGCAGGCUAGCAUGGAGCAGCAGGGACAUGUUCUGGCUUCACACCCUGAGCUGGGCCACAUGUGGGCAGAGAGCAGGAGCCCCUGCCCUGGUGGCCUCCAGCCUUUCUCACUCCUCUGGGUGGCUGCAUGCAGAUGUGCACAAACAUGCACAUCUGCUGCAUCCAUAAGUGACAUCUAAACUAUAAUAAUUCAUGUUUCUGUAUGGCACUUGAAGUGGAAAAAGUUGGGAGAGGUUUGCAAGCCACACAAGUGCUCACAUUUUGUAUACAGCACUCCAAUAAAUGGCUUCUUAUAAGCCAUAAGCAGCUUAAAAAAAACCCAAAACAUUCAAAAGUUUCUCAUGUUAUAGAACUGCUGGCAGCCCGUUUCUUGACAAAAAUAGAAGUUCUGUUAAUUCAGUAGAGAAAGGAUAAAGGCUGUUAUGGCUGUUCAGAAAAUUAUGAGUGGAGGUAUGAUGCCAUGUGCAUGUCUUGAGACAGAAUGGCUUUUGCUUCAUCUACAUCUACCAUUCCAGACAUCCAUUUUCCCUGGAGUUUGUUUACAUGAGAAAUCAAGCUGAAUUAAAGAAAUUAAGACAAACCACGAGGCCAUUCAUACAGUCCCUAAUGUCCCUUAGCUAACGUAGUUUAUCUUUUUACCUGCAACAGCAAUUCUUACAAAUGUCAGUGUACAGGAACCACCAAAACACAAGUGGGUUCUGCAGCUACAACAGGAGGAAAUACCUUGUGCUUCUAAAUGCAAUGAGACAUUUGGCUAAGCUGAAGAAACUUCAACAGUGCAUGGAGCCAGGUUCACCCCAUCUACGCUGGAGUAUAAGAAAUUUGGUGACCCACUCCUUCCACAGCACAGAGCUGUAAUUGCCCAACUUUACUGGCAAUGAAGGAAGCAUGAGGGAGCCAGAAUAACUGUGGCAAAGGGAACAGUUGUGGUCAAAUUACAUCCAAUGCGGACAGGAGACUCAUCAGCGAAAUUCCAGGUAUUCACACUGAAUUAGUGCUGACUGUGGAACUACUCAAUGUUGCCCAUCAUCCUCCAUUGAAACCACACACAUGCAGUCUUCAAGCUGGUCUCCAAAAGUGAUGAACUAUUCUUAAAGUCAGCUGUGGUCGUGCAGUGGCACAUGUCUGCAGUGAACUCUUCCUUGCUGAGGUGAUCCCCGCUGUGGCCAGUUUUAUGCAAUGAGAUGAGCAUUGCAUGCUUCCUGUGGUCAUCUCCUUGCAUCAAUUGGCUUUGGAUUAAUUGGCUUGAUUUGAAGUUAUCAUCCAUCUUUCAAAUCCCCAGUUAAGCUGGAAUGUUCCACAGCAGGCAGAUGGAAUUACUACUGUAUAAACAGCUGUAACAGAUGAUUAUUUUCAGAGAACUUGAAGAGCAGACUUAGUAAGGAGCAGAACCAGGCCCAAUAACCAUCUUGCCUUAGGCAAGGUGAUUACAUAUUGGUUAAAUAAGCUGUCUUUUGUAUUUAGGCUACAGUUUUGUGCCAACAGAUGAAAUGCAAUGAGUCUUCUUAGGACAGCCUUUACAGUGGCAGUUUCCAGUCUAGUUUGACUCUCCUUGCUGUCCUGUUCUCCUUAGUAAUUUGGCAGGGAGGGGUGUGAGGAAAGCAGAGGGGGAUCAGAAAGGCAUGGCUUUGUUCACAUGUGGAACUUAUUGAAGAAAAGUUGGGGAGGGUGACUUUCAAUUUAGCUGUUUAGACAUUUCUCAUUCUCUUCACUAGACUGUACAAGCGAUGGGGACUUUCCAGCCAUUUGCAUACAGUCUUAGAACAGGUUGGUUAAAUAGCCAUGGAGACCUAAAAAUAGCCGGGGGGAAAAUAGUGGCACCAAAUAAGCUGUAACUCAGUAUAAAUCCACUGUGGACUAAUGAAGAGACUGAAGUCCUCUUCCUAUCCACAGAAAAUGGUGGGACAUUUACCCUCAGGCUUUUAUUCAUAUAGUGAAAUAAAAACAAUGUGGAAAUACUGCACAACAGGUAAGAAAAUCAUAGAACCAUAGAAUUGUUUCAGUUGGAAAGGGCACUUACAGGUCAUCUAGUCCAACUCCCCUAUGUUCUAAUUAUGAACCUGUCCCUAGAGCCAUUAAUCCUCUUGGUUGCACUGCCAAACUUGUGCUUAGGUUUGUUUUUACCACUUUUGCUUCUUUGUUCCUGUCAGAACGUAGAAUGGGUGCAGUCAUUGAGAACAGAGCAAGUGUGGGCAAUAGCUCAGGAAAGGGCAUUGAGGAGCACAGACUACGAGUAAGCAUGUAACAUGCUCCCAGGCAGCCAAGUCAUGCUACGUUCAGGUCUCUUGCCCAAGUAACUUGCCCUUACUUACACACAGCCAAGUGAGAAUUCACAUCAUUAAAGCUUGCUCUCAGCCUUUGCAGCCUCCUGCGCGACUAAACCUGGUGUUUGCCUCAAUUGCCUACCAAACAACAAACCAUUGCCUUAUUUGCGGAGAGAACUCCAGUUCCCCCUGAAAAAUGGUCAUGCAGCAGCUAACACUGAAAACAGAGAGAUUUAAAUUCUCUUUUCACCCGUUCACCUUUAUCAAGGAGUCUGAGGUUUACUACCACGUUCUCUGGCCCAGCUUUUAAGCCAGUAAUCACUCAAUAGCUCUUAACACAGCCUCCAUGAUAACCAUUUCCAAAACACUUGAAAGGCUCAGCUUCUCCAAAGAAGACAGAUUUUCAUCACUGUGGAAAAGAAACACCAAGGCAAAUUCCCAUAUGCCCACUUAGUUGAUGAAAUGCCCUUUUUAUUGCACUGUGCAAGCUGUGGCCCAGGAAGCCAACACCCAGAGAUGUACUUGUCAUGCCAGCACAGCCCAGAUUGGUGGCACUUGCUAAGUGUGAUGUAAAAGGAUGCAGCGCAAGGGACAGAGGCCAGACAAGAGAUUUACACAUUGCUUAUCAGGAUGAAACACCUACUAAAAGCUCUCCCAGAUAGAAACGGCUUCUGCUGAGAAAACAGCAAAAGUAAACAAAUAGCUGAGCCAGCUGAUUGAUGUACAAAUGAAGAGCACAGCACAAACAAUGCAUUUACGUGCAUUUACCAGUUUUGGAAUUAACUAAAAGAUGUAUUAGAGCAGAAAGACAUAGCAAUAAACUGAAUAAUUACUUUCUCUGGCUCUGAAAACUGAGGUUGACUUUGGCAGCAAGGGAGGCUAAAUCUGCUAAAAGACUGUUUGCACAUCCCAAGGUCAGCUAUUUUCAGCCUGCAGUUCUUGUCAGCUUUGGGCUGAGACCCCAGCUUUUCUUCUCUUUCUCUGACCCCAGCCUGUAAUUUAUAACUUUCUUAUUAACAAAAGGAUUGUUAGAAAUGUUUCAUCUGUCACAUAAGUUUGUUAAUACCGUUCAAGAGACAACUGUAAGUAAAGGGACUGAAAUGUAUUCAUAUGGUACAAAGGAGAACCAAACAUAACUGGAACGCACUGGAAGAGAAGUUGGAAUAUUCAAAUAGUAUGAGGCCUUCCAAAACUCACAUCCAGGUGGUAUCUGAUACAAAUUUAUUUCUAACCUUCCAGAAGUAGCUGUCUUAAGUGAAAACUCUUACACUACUCAACAAACAGACAGAAUUACCCUGGAAAAGUCUUAGGACACCUAUGGCCAUUUUCAUCACUACUGAACAGUUACAACUAUGGAAUCAUGACAGUAGACAAAAAGUGGCAGUUAAUUUUAACCCUGAUCAGGCCUGGGAUUAACACUGCAGCAUGCAACUUCAAUUAUUUACAGUCAGAUUGGCUCAACUAUUAGAAAGCCAGCAGUGCAAUAUGAGGAACAAAUACAUCAGAGCAUCAUGAAUGAAGUAGUACUCUUCUUAUGCUCAAUUACUCUUCCUGGUAAAUGAAAUACAGAUUGGAAAAAAUAUUAUAUAAAUAUAAAUAAAAUCUCAGUUUGCUGAAAACAAAAGAAAUAUUUUUAAAAUGGAAAAAUGGGUAAAAAACAAGAACUUGUACAACGACGGAUAUCAAACUGCAAGUCUUAGAAAAAUCUGAUGCUUUCAGCACCUUUUGAAAUGCAGACCGUUACCCAAAAGAGUGGCAGCUAAUCAAAAUGACAGCAGUAGUUCAGCUUCCAUUUCUCACUUCACAUUGUCUAAUUUGUGCCCUUGGGUGCUCAGUUUCUUAUUCCUCAGUUCUCUAAAAUCUGAUGUUCCACUUCCCCCUACUUGCAGCCAAAUCUGUCAGAAACUGUGAACUCGAGAUGAGAAACAACGCUCAAUCCCUACUGAAACAAAACAAGAUGAUAAAUAUCUGUGUAUGAUCAAAUUAGAGAGGCAUUACCAUGGGCUAUAAUGUGGCCCCUUCUCUUCACUGCCCCACCAGCUGUGAUUAAGAUGUGCUCCUGUUUGCUUCAUAUAAAGUGCGACAGAAAAAGUUUGUCCUAUUCCUUAAUGAAGUGACACCAGAUUGGUAGCUCCAAGCUCAGGCUCAUUUUUGUCAGUCACUGUACCUGAUCAGUUCCAGAACAAAUCCACCACAAAGUACAAACUCUGUAUAAUUUCUGAUAAACGUAUCUUUGAGCAUUUUAAAGUAAAGUGAAAGGAAAAAAUCUAAGCUCCUGCUCAAUAGUGCUCACUCAAGGCAUUCACAUAGAAGGAGACGAGUAAUGAAAUUCAUCUGAGGUCCAUGACCUGACAGAAGAGAAGCUGGAAUUCAGCUCCCACCUCUCCAGGCAGCAAUGAGCACAGCAGUUCAGAGCCAAAUUCAUUCCCUGGCUUUGAUCUAGCUUUUGUCUGUCAUUUAAAAGAGACAAGAGAAAUCUGGAGAAAAAGUUGAUCUAGAAAAGUUCAUGCUAGCCAAUAAAAUAAACAGAAUCACUUGAAAAGUUCUCAAAUCUAUCUUAUUCUGUCUCAGACAGACCUUGUUUGAUUCUAAGUUUACUUAGAAAAGAAUUCUACUGACUUAAUGACAGAAGGCAGCUUCUCUUUCAGUCUGGAUUAGAGAUCUGAUGGACAAAGUGAAAUAAGAAUAGAAACAGCAUAAAAUGAUCACACAUUGGGAGAGUCCUUUUUUCUAAAGUGACAUCUUUAAAAAACAGCUCUCAAAUGAGUAGAUGGCUUGCUUUUAUCUGCAACAUGAACUGUUUUAACGAACAACAUUCCUUUCCUCCAAGUUUCACUGCUCCUGUCUUUAAUUCCAACUGGUUUUUGCCCCUAAUCAAACCAUGGUGCUGGAUCAAAUGCUGCUGCAGUUAAGAUCAAUGCUAAUUUGAAAAAAUGUCAGCAGAAGCAGAAUUUGGUCAGUAGAUUCAGGGGGCACGCUUCAAUAUCUUUUGAAGUUAAGCAUCGUAUUUAUUAUCAAAUUACACUAAUUGUCUACAUAUAAAAAAAAAGGGGGACUUAAAAUAAAUCCCUUUCAGCACUGACACUUGUGGAUCUUUUUUCAGGAACUAUUUAACAUCAUACAGGAAUACAUUUAUUUACGGUAUAGGAAGAACACUGUAUAAUUUACAAAGCACAGGGAGAAGGAACAAAGUUACUCCCAAGUUAGAAUUUCACUGAUGGAAGUAUGCCAACACAUAGCCCAAACUUUGCAAAAGCCUAAAUUCUAAGUAGUCAGAACGUUUUCCUUUUAAUACAGAAGCAUCUCUCUCUCCAUUAUUUUUUUUAAAUAAAUGAAUCAAUGCAAUUGUUUUCUGUUUCUGUAUCCAGCCAUCACAUACUCUCUGAAUACAUUCACAUCUCACAUGGACUUGUUUCUAUUCUGCGUUGCCUCUUUUUUAAAAUAAAAAAAAAAUGUUACAACAAUGUACACUCAACUUUGUAUUGGCAUUCAACAUCUAAAUAACAGAAGUAAAUUGGAAGUUGCACAAU
This is a long non-coding RNA of Lagopus muta (rock ptarmigan), 5970 nucleotides long. RefSeq lists it as uncharacterized. The transcript has 3 exons. NCBI's taxonomy places the organism in Eukaryota, Metazoa, Chordata, Aves, Galliformes, Phasianidae. The record is from RefSeq and is a predicted model, not a curated record.